Molecule: unclassified non-coding RNA, 201 nt
Filed under: Hevea brasiliensis (rubber tree)
Lineage: Eukaryota; Viridiplantae; Streptophyta; Magnoliopsida; Malpighiales; Euphorbiaceae
Source: RNAcentral
GAUAAUUUGUUCUGGAUGAAUAAGGUACAUGAAUCUAACCUAAAUUUUUAUUGUUUUAGAGCUUCAUGCAUGUUUAACUUUCACAAUGUUAUUAAUUAUUAUGCCAAUCAGGGUAAGAUCUGCAUCACAUUUAUAGACUCAUAUUCAAGCUUAGACUAUCUAUAGUAACAUUAACAAUACCUGUGUUAUUGUGACUUGAUC